GCUGUCUCCACCCGAGACUCAGUGAAAUUGAACUCGCUGUGAAGAUGCAGUGUACCCGCGGCAAGACGGAAAGACCCCGUGAACCUUUACUAUAGCUUGACACUGAACAUUGAGCCUUGAUGUGUAGGAUAGGUGGGAGGCUUUGAAGUGUGGACGCCAGUCUGCAUGGAGCCGACCUUGAAAUACCACCCUUUAAUGUUUGAUGUUCUAACGUGGACCCGUUACCCGGGUUGCGGACAGUGUCUGGUGGGUAGUUUGACUGGGGCGGUCUCCUCCUAAAGAGUAACGGAGGAGCACGAAGGUUGGCUAAUCCUGGUCGGACAUCAGGAGGUUAGUGCAAUGGCAUAAGCCAGCUUGACUGCGAGCGUGACGGCGCGAGCAGGUGCGAAAGCAGGUCAUAGUGAUCCGGUGGUUCUGAAUGGAAGGGCCAUCGCUCAACGGAUAAAAGGUACUCCGGGGAUAACAGGCUGAUACCGCCCAAGAGUUCAUAUCGACGGCGGUGUUUGGCACCUCGAUGUCGGCUCAUCACAUCCUGGGGCUGAAGUAGGUCCCAAGGGUAUGGCUGUUCGCCAUUUAAAGUGGUACGCGAGCUGGGUUUAGAACGUCGUGAGACAGUUCGGUCCCUAUCUGCCGUGGGCGCUGGAGAACUGAGGGGGGCUGCUCCUAGUACGAGAGGACCGGAGUGGACGCAUCACUGGUGUUCGGGUUGUCAUGCCAAUGGCACUGCCCGGUAGCUAAAUGCGGAAGAGAUAAGUGCUGAAAGCAUCUAAGCACGAAACUUGCCCCGA
RNAcentral lists this ribosomal RNA (788 nucleotides) under Salmonella enterica. RNAcentral describes it as "partial 23S ribosomal RNA". It matches the Rfam family "Bacterial large subunit ribosomal RNA", at positions 2015 to 2802 of the family's 2925-position model. Lineage: Bacteria; Pseudomonadati; Pseudomonadota; Gammaproteobacteria; Enterobacterales; Enterobacteriaceae. The record is from RNAcentral.